GUGUAAGGAUGUUAAUGGGUACGGAUAUAAAAAAAUUUUAUCCAAAUCCGAAUCCGAACGGAACGGAUUUAUCUGAUACUAAAUGAAUAAAGUUUCAGAUACAAAUAUAAAAAAGAAAACCCGACCGACUAAAUUCGGUAUGGAUUUUGUUUAUGCCGGACUCAAACCCGAACCCGACCCGAACCACCAAAUUGAUUUUAUAUUAUAUAUAUAAAUAUUUAAUGUUAUAUUUAAAUUUAUAUUUUAAAAUUUUAGAUUUAAUAUAAUAUAUUUUAGAAAUAUGAUAAAGAGAAAUAAUUUUUUCAGAUUCGAUUUUUUUUUUUUUUGGCAGCUUCGUUUUCCGUUUCGCAAUUUUAUAAUUGGUUUAGGUUUAGAUUUGGUUCUCAAUUUUAUAAUAGUUCGAAUUUCUAUUUUUAGUUGAGAUUUGGUUUCAGAUUUGCACAAAACUGUCAAAAACCAACCCACCUACGUGUCUAUCCUCGUGUGAGAUGAAUAUAUUUUUUCAGAUAUAUCUUUUACACAUGAAAAUUAUAAUCAAAUAUCUAAAAUAGAAUAACAUAUUUCACUUUUUAGUCAAUUUUUUUGGGCAUAUUUAGUCAGCCGAAAAUAAAAUACCGAAAGUAACACUUUUAAAAAGUGACGUCUUACCGGUUAUUUGGUUUGCGAAAGUGAAUAUAAAAAUCACUUUACAGAACUGGGCCGAUAGAAUGAGUUACGGCUAAAUCUAACUUUUUUUUAGGGCGUGUUUGGUUCACCGAAAGUAUAACACAAAAAGUGGUAUUUUUAGAAAGUGCCAUUUUAUCGGUUGUUUGGUUUACGAAAAUGAAUAUGAAAGUCACUUUACGAAAGUAGACUGUUAAAGUGAGUUAUAACUAAAUCUCACUUUUUUGACUUCGGCUCAAAAAAUUCGAAAGUCACCGAAAGUGAAGAGCUUAGCUAGCUAAGAGAUUAUAUUUGAUUUUAACUU
This 967-nucleotide long non-coding RNA is filed under the name Ananas comosus (pineapple). RNAcentral's name for it is "long non-coding RNA (ACOM_LNC032536)". The record is from RNAcentral. Lineage: Eukaryota; Viridiplantae; Streptophyta; Magnoliopsida; Poales; Bromeliaceae.